This 1729-nucleotide long non-coding RNA is filed under the name Gossypium barbadense (sea-island cotton). RNAcentral describes it as "long non-coding RNA (GBAR_LNC021873)". Lineage: Eukaryota; Viridiplantae; Streptophyta; Magnoliopsida; Malvales; Malvaceae. The record is from RNAcentral.
GACUGUCGUUGCUUUGGCAACAAAUGUAGCAUUCCGAUAUAUUGACCUGGUGAUCAGGUAAGGUAUAGGAGUGUUACACGAACCCAGCUUGACCCGUCCAUAUUAAAAAAUUGUGCAUUAUUUUUGUAUAUAUAAAAAUUAAAAAUAUAAUACAUCAAAAACACUAAAAAUAUUAAAAUAAAUAUAUCCCAACAAAUAGAAAAUAAAUUUAAAAAGUUUCUAUACUUAAAUAACACUAAGAUAGGUCUUAAAAAUAUAUAUGUCAACUUCCGAUAACAAUGAGGACGGCGAUGCUUGUCCGGCCGAUGGUCGUAAUUCCAAAAAAGUUCGGUUUAAGGGAAAAGAAGGGAAUAACGUCGAAAUGCUAGUUGGCCCGAUGUCGUCACCAUCUGUGUCCCGGAAAGAUUUGUUAUUGAGGAAUUUUGCCAAAUCAACAGAAAGAGCAGGGGAAAAAAAUAAGGAACAUUUUAACCUCGAAGAAAAAGAUUUCUCUAUGACCAUAGUUAAUGGAAUACUCGCGAUUGAUUUUUCUGACCGGGUUAAGAAUUACCUGUUGAAAGACAUAGAAACCACCGUUGUGGUUAAACUUCUGGGGCGGAGCAUUGGAUACAUUACUCUUCAGAAUAGGGUUUCAAGUUUGUGGCAACCUUCUAAGUCUUUUCCAAUUAUGGAUUGGAAAAUGGCUAUUUUUACGUAAAAUUUCAAAGUAAAGAGGAUUAUAAGAAAAUGCUUAUUCAGGGUCCUUGGACCGUCUUCAAUCAAUAUCUCAUGUGACCUAGAUCUGACUACCAAGACUUCUCGGAUAUUUGUACAAUAAGAAGAUUCUUAAGGAGAUUGGCGGAAUGAUAGGGAGGGUAGCGAAGCUUGAUUUUAACAUCAACAAGGGGUUGAGGGGACAAUUUUCGUCAAUCUGGAUAAGCCUCUAAUUUCUCAAAUUUUGGUUAACGGAAAAACACAGAGUAGAGUAUGAGUCUUUACCGAUCGUUUUCUUUUCAUGCGGGAGACAUGGCCAUGUUAAGGAUUUGUGCUCCUUCUCUGCCGGUACUAAGGGUAACGCCGGAGAAAAAAGAGGGAUCAAUGGAGACCAAGCCUAUAACUGAAGAUUCGAUGAAGGAGGCGACAGAGUUUGGGCCUUGGAUGAUCGUUGACAGGUGGUCUCACCGUAAUCUCAAAUAUUCGAGCAAAUCAGUGGCUAAAAUUCCAGGAAGUGAAGCAAAUGGUUCAAGAUUCAGGUCAUUAGUUUUGAUGGAAAAAGGAAAUGGGGAAUAAGAAGAUUGUACGGCUGAUUUAUCGAGGAUCAAUUUUAAGAAAGGAGAUUUUUUCAAGAUACUUAAAUGUGUUAAUAAAAGGAAAGGGGCCAAAGAUUUAGAUCCGGUUAUUGAAGUAGAAGAGUUGGACAAUGCGGGUCAUGGUUGUAGGUCUGGGCCUGGGGAUUAAUCUAAGAAGUUGGGUUCAGAUUUUAUGGGAAUUGGGUCGAUUGUGGGGACUGAAGUGGACCAAAACUUAGCUGCAGAAGGAGGCGUUAAUGCUGGUAAAGGGGCUAUUAAUACCAGGUCAGUUUCAAGGGGUUUAGGCCAACUCGAUGGCAGCCAUAAAAUAAAUAAUGCCUCUUCAGGCCCAGUUGAAAAGUCUCUCUCGCCCAUUCAUAAUUUCAAUUAUUAUUUGUCGAGUAAUAAUUUAAGCCUUUAAUAAAAUACUUUUUGUAGAAUAUUAAUAGAUAUUUCAACCC